RNAcentral lists this long non-coding RNA (892 nucleotides) under Equus caballus (horse). RNAcentral's name for it is "lncRNA (ENSECAG00000058921.1)". The record is from RNAcentral. Lineage: Eukaryota; Metazoa; Chordata; Mammalia; Perissodactyla; Equidae.
GUUCUUUAACAUCUAAGUGGUAAAGCCACAGUAAAGGGACAAAGAUUUCAUCAGGUGGCUUCAGAAUGACCUGCGAACAUCUUUGAUAACUUUGCGAAUCCUCUCUUGCCGUGGUAACACACCACCAGGGCCUUCUGAGGGUACAGUUAUGGCCCCCCCCCCCAGACUCAGUUGCGCACAGCAGCUACAGGGGCUCCCUGGGGCUUUAAUCACAGGACUAGGUAGUCAGAAGCAGUUAAAUUGUGCUGCGGGACUCUUUUUGACAUUCCACAGAAUUCAGAGAAACUCUCCUGCGUCCACUGACGGAUGGAGGGGCCGGAAAAGUUUGGGCCUGAAUUUCCCUUCCCUAGGCCCUCCACCUCCCAAGGCUCCCACGAAGCCCUCCCCCUCUAGGGGCUCCGCAGUACCUCUGUGUCCACACCCCUCCAUCCCCAGGCCCUCCCGCCAGCUUCCCCGCGCAACCCCUCUGCUGCCCCAGUCCUAAUUCGCAGCGUCCUCGCCGCCGCAGCUGCAGCCCCCCAAGGGCUCUAGGAUCCCCCGGGAAGAAACGGGCUGAUGAAACCCAGCAAAUAUAAGAACAUUUUGAGAGGCCAAGCAUUUGUGGCAAGCAUUUGGUUGGAAGGAAAGGAGAAUUGAGGCACAUGCCAUAAAGGAAAGAGUUCCUCACUAAUUGAUCUAAAUUGUCGGCAGCAUUUGUCAACGAAAAUCCUUCCUACUACGCACUCAGGCCACUGCGAGGGCGCCUAUCCAUGACUCCCGCCACUAGGACUAGUCUAUGGAUUCAUACUUUUCUUGUCCUCUGUUCCCUAAUUUAUGAAUGAAAGAAGAAGAAUACUAAUUACUCAGUUGUCAUUUGGAAACUCGCAAAAAUAGGAUUUACCAUGAAUUUUCA